GGUGGUGGCGCGUGCGCGCGCGGGCGGUGGCGGGGCUCGCUUGAAGCGACGCGACUGGCCUUGUGGAAGCGCUGCCGCCGUCUCUUUGUUCUUUCGCUGAACACACGGCGCCUCUCAGGAAGGCGGUGUGCAGGUUUAAGGUUCUCCAACUAAGUCAGACACUGCCACCUGACUUGACAUUGCAAUAAAAUGAUAGUCACUUCAUGGAAGCCACCACUAAAUAUACCAAUUACCAGAAUUUUGGGGGCUGUCCAGAGCUCCUGAAACCCAUCUGUGGGUGACUGACUACAUGAAGAAGGCCGGCCUAAAGUCAGCUCAGUCUUUCAACCUGGACUUCCACAGUAUACAGCUCCUGGGUUCUGCUCUGCUUUUUCCAGUUAGUUGUGUUGUGAGUCUGUUGGUUGCUGAUUCUAUAUGUGGUAGUAUAAUUCCUUCUCUCUGUAACUGAGCUUGUAACUGAAAAAAAUGACAUGACAAUGCCUAAAAUCAUACAACAAGAAAAAUGGAAUUUUCACUAUUUUCAUGGUUCAUUAUGUUGAAAAUAAAAAGACCAAAAGUUAAAGACUGAGUUCCUAUUUCAAAGCAUUGUCAAUGUCAAACAUCUAAUUGCAAAAUACUAUAUACAGGAAACUGCAGGGGUCUAAUUUCUACUGACAAAGAAUUUAUAAUCUGAGACAAUCUAGUGAUAACCUCACAGGUUAUCAAAUGGGGACAGGGCAGCAGAUAAUAUUAAGUUAUUAAAUAAGGUAAGAUGACUUUUAGAAGUGUAAACUAUUUUGAAAAUGCAAAGUUCUGAAAUAAGUCCAAACUCCAUAUUCUAACAAGUAAAAUCAGAGAUUGCCAAUGUCUCAAAUUAUGUCUGCUAAACAGAUAGUGCACACACUUUGAUUAUGAAGUAAUGACAUUGAUUCUGAGGCAUGACUUGCAGAAAUCUGGGUCCUUCCUUUGCAGACACGCUUGGUAAUGUGAGACAAAUUUCUGGCAGCAGAGUGAUGAUUCAAAAUUCAUUCUUAGGCAGACAAAAAAGUAUAUAAAGGGAAUAGAACAAAAAUUGUGGGAAAUAUGUAAAAAUAAUUUUUUUGACUGGAGUAGGAGAAUUUGCUUUUCCAUUUUAUUUCCUUGACAGUCCAGUAAAGCAGUAUCACGUGCAAUUUUGUGCUUUUUUAAAUAUCUAAGCUUCUGGUUCAACUCUUCACAUUUCUUGUCUAACAACAGACAUUCUCCAUGGCUCCUUUUCUUGCUUUCUGCUGAAUUCUGUACUUUGUACUAUUAAUAGUUUUGAUUUUGUGAAGACCUGAAUCAUUCUGUAAGCAGUUAUGAAAUAUCUCCCGUGGCUUUCUGGCCCGGGGCAGACGGGAAAAUUAACUCAAAAGAGAAAAGAGCACCCUAAACUGCCUUUUCUCGGGCAGACAGCCAUCGAUGUGAUUUCAGUGAAAACCAUCAAGCUGAAACAUCAA
Molecule: long non-coding RNA, 1457 nt
Filed under: Macaca mulatta (Rhesus monkey)
Lineage: Eukaryota; Metazoa; Chordata; Mammalia; Primates; Cercopithecidae
Description: lncRNA (ENSMMUG00000057973.1)
Source: RNAcentral